AGAAAGUGAUCCUGGCUCAGAUUGAACGCUGGCGGCAUGCCUAACACAUGCAAGUCGAACGCGAAAGCGCCUUCGGGCGUGAGUAGAGUGGCGGACGGGUGAGUAACGCGUGGGAAUCUGCCCUGUAGUGGGGGACAACCCGGGGAAACUCGGGCUAAUACCGCAUACGUCCUACGGGAGAAAGGGGGCCUUCGGGCUCUCGCUACAGGAUGAGCCCGCGUCCGAUUAGCUAGUUGGUGGGGUAAAGGCCCACCAAGGCGACGAUCGGUAGCUGGUCUGAGAGGAUGAUCAGCCACACUGGGACUGAGACACGGCCCAGACUCCUACGGGAGGCAGCAGUGGGGAAUAUUGGACAAUGGGCGAAAGCCUGAUCCAGCCAUGCCGCGUGUGUGAAGAAGGCCUGCGGGUUGUAAACCACUUUCAGUAGGGAAGAAAUGCUGCGGGUUAAUACCCCUUGGUCUUGACGUUACCUACAGAAGAAGCACCGGCUAACUCCGUGCCAGCAGCUCCGGUAAUACUGAGGGUGCAAGCGUUAAUCGGAAUCACUGGGCGUAAAGCGCACGUAGGCGGCUAGGUAAGUCUUAUGUGAAAGCCCCGCGCUCAACCUGAGAACUGCAUUUGAUACUGCUUGCCUUGAGUCUUGCAGAGGGGGGUGGAAUUUCCAGGUGUAGCGGGGGAAAUGCGUAGAUAUCUGGAGGAACACCUAGUGUCGAAGGCGGCCCCCCUGGACUAAGACUGACGCUUUACGUGCGAAGCGUGGGGAUCAAACACGAUUAGAUACCCUGGUACUCCACGCCUUAAACGAUGUUCACCAAGCCGUUGCCUUCCUAUUUAGGGUUCUAUUGGUAGCAGCUAACGCGCACACGCUGUACGCCCGGGGAAGUUCGGUCCACAAGGUUAAAAUCCUAAUGACUUGACGGGGGCCAGUCAUGUCGGGGGAGCUAUUGGUUUUAGUUCCAUUGAACGCCGACAAAUUUA
This 978-nucleotide ribosomal RNA is filed under the name uncultured bacterium. RNAcentral's name for it is "bacterial SSU rRNA". It matches the Rfam family "Bacterial small subunit ribosomal RNA", at positions 1 to 973 of the family's 1533-position model. The record is from RNAcentral.